This is a non-coding RNA of Myotis brandtii (Brandt's bat), 75 nucleotides long. The record is from Rfam. Lineage: Eukaryota; Metazoa; Chordata; Mammalia; Chiroptera; Vespertilionidae.
GGCGGUUCUCGGGUGACGCACCCCAGAAUUGGGCUCCCUCCUUUGUGGUUCCGGGCUCGACACCUGAGAACCACG